RNAcentral lists this ribosomal RNA (460 nucleotides) under uncultured bacterium. Its description in RNAcentral is "partial 16S ribosomal RNA". It matches the Rfam family "Bacterial small subunit ribosomal RNA", at positions 338 to 795 of the family's 1533-position model. The record is from RNAcentral.
CCUACGGGGGGCAGCAGUGAGGAAUAUUGGUCAAUGGGCGCGAGCCUGAACCAGCCAAGUAGCGUGAAGGAUGACUGCCCUAUGGGUUGUAAACUUCUUUUAUAAGGGAAUAAAGUGAUGCACGUGUGCCUUUUUGUAUGUACCUUAUGAAUAAGGAUCGGCUAACUCCGUGCCAGCAGCCGCGGUAAUACGGAGGAUCCGAGCGUUAUCCGGAUUUAUUGGGUUUAAAGGGAGCGUAGAUGGGUUGUUAAGUCAGUUGUGAAAGUUUGCGGCUCAACCGUAAAAUUGCAGUUGAGACUGGCAGCCUUGAGUACAGUUGAGGUAGGCGGAAUUCGUGGUGUAGCGGUGAAAUGCUUAGAUAUCACGAAGAACUCCGAUUGCGAAGGCAGCCUACUGGACUGCCACUGACACUGAGGCUCGAAAGUGUGGGUAUCAAACAGGAUUAGAUACCCGAGUAGUC